Molecule: long non-coding RNA, 2212 nt
Filed under: Centruroides sculpturatus (bark scorpion)
Lineage: Eukaryota; Metazoa; Arthropoda; Arachnida; Scorpiones; Buthidae
Description: uncharacterized LOC111624572
Source: RNAcentral
UAGUUUUAUUAUUAAAGAGUAGGACGAGAUCAUAAAUUUAUAAAUUAUCUUUUUAGGCAAUUAAUUCGUUGGCCAAAUUACCCUUCUGGUACUUUAUUCCUUUCUUUAAGUGUAAUUAGUUUUAUUUUUAGAAGAAGAAAAAGGCAAGAAUUAUGAAUUAUUCGAAUGUUAGAAUCACUGAAGAAGAAGGAAAAAGAUUUUUAUAUUCUUGCUGCAUCUAACACAAUGGAAAAAGAAGAAACUUUUCUUAAACGGAUCUCUUCAGUAAUUGUGCCAAAAGAGGAAAUUCUUCAACAGAAUACCAUACAAGCGGGUAACGUUUUGUUUGUUUUAAUUGUGCCAUCCAUAAUGAAAGAUGUGCGAAACAAAUGGAUUGUGUUGACUGGCUAUUGUGACUUCACUUCCCUUUCAUACAUAUAUAUAUAUAUAUCCAGCAGCAAAACAGUAAUUCCAUUUGUUACAUGUCUCCUACCAAAUUAAUUUAUUGCAUGUAUUGUUGCCUUAAUGACAUAUUUGUUCAACUUUAUUAAUGGAUUACACUCUGUUGCGGUAUGUUACUCGAAAUAUUCGACUUUUCCUGUGUUAUAAAAUGGAUUUUUUUUUAUCCCAUUUCGAGCUUCGCUUCACUAAAAACUUUACUACUUUCCCUCUUCUCCUCUUCCACCUCCUCCUUUUAGUAAAUCCCUAAAGUCAUUAUUUUCAGGAUUUUCUCUAAUAAUUUUGCUAUUUUCUCUAGCUUGAAUCGAUCUUUGACACUUUCUUUUUUCUUUUUCUACCAAAUAAAGAAUAGUUUUAAGUCCCUUUCCUCCUCCUCAACAUCCGACCAUUUCGAUUGACCCCAAACGAGUUAAUAACGUUUACUACUUUUCCUUUUAACUGCAUUUAGUCUAAUUAGUUUGUUUCUCUAGAAAAUUGAAAGGUUUGACGUUGAUUGUGUAGAAAGUGAUAAUGAUAUUAUCUUCAGAAUACCCUUCUGAUGAUUAUCUUAUUUUAAUGACGGUUACUCAAUUACAGCUUGAAGCCAAUCUUUCUUAAUAAUCCCAUCUUUAACGUGUUUUAAUACCUUUAAAAUGUUCUGGCAUUGUUAAUAUACUGAAGUUUUCCUCACUUAAUAUUACUCUAGAAUUAUUUUUUCUACCCUUUUUUUCUCUCUACAAGAAGCCCACAGGCUAACAUUACUUCUUAAUUUCUUUCGUGAUCUUGUUUGUUUAUCUCAAGGCAAUCCACUUGUUGUUCCUCUCAGACUAAUCUUGAUUUUUAUUCCUUCCACGUCGAUACACGCCAUUCUUUCAACUUCUAACCUAUUUCUUACGAGAAAUAAACCCCUGUAGCUUCGAUUAAAAUCGAUUUUUUUUAAUUAUUUACAUUAAAAAUAACCGAAUAAAAUGCUGUUUUCUGUUGAAGCAUUUCAUGAUCUUUCACUAUAACAUCAUAAAAUUCACUUCGUGGAAGCCGAGGAGCUCCAUUCUAAGAAGUUGAUGAUCGUAAAGUUAUAUAAGAAUGUUUACAGUAGAGUGAGUGACUGUUUUUAUUAUUAUUAUUAUUAUAUAUUUUCGUUGAAAGAUGCUUAAAGUACAGUACAUUAAUUAUAAUUUAUUUAUACACACUUCUCUAUAUUUUCUUAUUCCAUUUUAGUGUUGCAGUUCCUUCAAGGAUUACAUAAAACGUUAUAUAUCACUGUUGACAGUAGAUUUUCAGAUGUGAUAGCAGGAAAGGCAAUGUAAUACACCGAUACAAGAAUAUUUACAGGAAGAUAGAAUAUAUUUAAGAUCUUCAAUGACAGUGCUCUUGAGCUUCAUCUAUAUCCUUUUCAUCCUUUUCUCCUGAUAUAUUUGGAAUAUUUAAUAAAAUUUUCUACAUUUCUAACGCUAAGUGAGUAUAAAAAUAAAUAAUUUUACUACUAUUUUUUUCUGUAUGUAUGGAUGUCUGUAUGGGGGAUGGCAGAAUUUUGGUUUACCCUCUUUGAAACUUAAUAACUCCUGUACUUUUAGUCAAAAUUUUCUGAAAUUUUACUGGGAGGUUCGUAUAUUAGGGGGUUUGAUUCUACUAAAUUUUGGUGGUUAAAGGUCGACGGGUUGAGAAGAUAAAGGGGGUCGCGUGUGUAUCUCUAAUAGGAUCGGACUUAAUGACGAUUUUACUUGUUAUCAUCAUUUAUAAUUCUUUUAAAAUAAAAUUCAACCCUACCCUGAAAAUUAAAAAAUAUAUAAAGUUU